GCACCGAUGGUUCAGUGGUAGAAUUCUCGCCUUUCACAUGGGAGACCUGGGUUCAAUUCCUGGCCAGUGCA
RNAcentral lists this transfer RNA (71 nucleotides) under Loxodonta africana (African savanna elephant). It matches the Rfam family "tRNA". From Rfam's summary of the family: Transfer RNA (tRNA) molecules are approximately 80 nucleotides in length. Their secondary structure includes four short double-helical elements and three loops (D, anti-codon, and T loops). Lineage: Eukaryota; Metazoa; Chordata; Mammalia; Proboscidea; Elephantidae. The record is from Rfam by way of RNAcentral.